CAGUUUGAGCUGGAGCAAGUUGAAGGGCAGAGACCAACUCAGGAAGAGUAAUGGGUUGGCCUUGGCCUUGGCCAUUGUUGUGGAUUAUGUCUGAAAGAACGGGCUUUAACUGGAAUGACUUGUGAGAAUGGCUUACUUGGGGAAAUGGGAGCCUGAGUUUUCACAACUAACUUUGUGUUUCCUCUGAAGUUAUUCAAAAUGGUUCAUUUUUCAGGUUUUGGGUGGAAAUAUUAGCAAGGAUCAUUGCCAAGUGAAUUAAUUUGCUUGAUUAUUGUU
Long non-coding RNA from Humulus lupulus (European hop), 276 nucleotides. RefSeq lists it as uncharacterized. The transcript has 3 exons. The record is from RefSeq and is a predicted model, not a curated record. NCBI's taxonomy places the organism in Eukaryota, Viridiplantae, Streptophyta, Magnoliopsida, Rosales, Cannabaceae.